Molecule: ribosomal RNA, 401 nt
Filed under: Vibrio sp. D78
Lineage: Bacteria; Pseudomonadati; Pseudomonadota; Gammaproteobacteria; Vibrionales; Vibrionaceae
Description: bacterial SSU rRNA
Rfam family: Bacterial small subunit ribosomal RNA
Source: RNAcentral
AGAGUUUGAUCCUGGCUCAGAUUGAACGCUGGCGGCAGGCCUAACACAUGCAAGUCGAGCGGAAACGAGUUAUCUGGACCUAAGGGGAACGACAACGGCGUCGAGCGGCGGACGGGUGAGUAAUGCCUAGGAAAUUGCCCUGAUGUGGGGGAUAACCAUUGGAAACGAUGGCUAAUACCGCAUAAUGCCUACGGGCCAAAGAGGGGGACCUUCGGGCCUCUCGCGUCAGGAUAUGCCUAGGUGGGAUUAGCUAGUUGGUGAGGUAAUGGCUCACCAAGGCGACGAUCCCUAGCUGGUCUGAGAGGAUGAUCAGCCACACUGGAACUGAGACACGGUCCAGACUCCUACGGGAGGCAGCAGUGGGGAAUAUUGCACAAUGGGCGCAAGCCUGAGGCAGCCAU